This is a long non-coding RNA of Octopus sinensis (East Asian common octopus), 1233 nucleotides long. RefSeq lists it as uncharacterized. The record is from RefSeq and is a predicted model, not a curated record. Lineage: Eukaryota; Metazoa; Mollusca; Cephalopoda; Octopoda; Octopodidae. The transcript is spliced from 2 exons.
UUGUUAUAUUUUUCAUAUUGGAAUGUUUUGGAUGAAUUUGCAAGUCCUGAUGUUUGUGUGACAGGAGAAAAUAAUGUGUACACUUAGUAAAAUCUAUUCAAGCCGAAGAAUUUAGUGUCUAUGUAGGUCUUCAUGAGGACCUUAUUGUCAGCUCCACAGUCUAUUCUUUCUAGUUUUUGGAAGUAACACAGCUGGAGUUCAUGACUAGAUACUCUUGGAAACAUAUGUUAAGAAUCUGAUUCUCAUUGCAAAAUCUGUUGAAGAGUAGCAUGAAGAGUUUCAAAUGAGGAAGAAUGGUCUAGAGUUCAAAGACCUAAGAUUCAAUAUGGCAAAGGUCAACAUUCUAAUUAAUAGUGGAGAGUACAAAAUAAGGAAAGUGGCCUUGUUUGAUAUGUGUGUGUGUGUGUGUGGUGUGUGUGUGUGUGUGGUAGUGGUGGCAAACUGAGAAUGAAUGCUUCCCUGCAUUUGGUGAAGAAAUACAGUCUUUAUUUGCGGAUUAAUAAUGCUGUGAACAUGGAGAUAGAUUUGGUGGAACACAUGUAAAUUGUAAAUUUUUCUGCAUGAAAUCAAUGAUGUCAUUGUUAAUCUACAAAUAAAGAAUAUAUAGAUAGAUAGAGGGAUAGACACACACACACACACAAUGCACGCACACACGCGCAUGCACACACACACACACACACACCACACACACACACACACACACACACACACACACACACACACUUGAUCUAUAUGCUUAAUGCAAAAGAACUCUGGCUUAUUAACAGGGAACCAGGAUUAAUUAGCAAUAGGGACAAUGAAAUCAAAUAAUCAAAUUAUUGUUCAUAUUGAUUUCUAGAAAUAAUAGUUAGUUUCUGUUACUUAGGUGACAUUAUUAGUAGUGGAGGGGAAUGUAAUGAAAGGAUAGUAAGAGGGAGAUAUAGUUAAAAACAAAAAUUACUGAUAGCGGAGUUUUCCUUGUGCAAAAGAUAGACUGUGUGAAUCAUAUGUAAGAAACGUGAAUGUUCCAUAGUAGUGGGACUUUGGCACUGACUAUGAAGGACUUGCAGAGGUUAAAGAGAUGGGAAUCAUCAGAUAUGAUCUACUGAGUGUACUCUGUUAACUUAUAUGAAGGAGAAGAGCACAAGUGAUCUGAGAGCGUAGAAGCAUAUUUAAAACAUUGACUGGUGUAUGCAGAAGAGACACCUGCAUUGGUAGAGACAUCUAAUGUGAAUGGGUGAUGAAUGUUGGAUA